RNAcentral lists this long non-coding RNA (227 nucleotides) under Salvia miltiorrhiza (redroot sage). Its description in RNAcentral is "long non-coding RNA (SMIL_LNC003638)". Lineage: Eukaryota; Viridiplantae; Streptophyta; Magnoliopsida; Lamiales; Lamiaceae. The record is from RNAcentral.
UUUUCUCAACAAUUGAUAAUGAGAAGAUAUUGCAACAUUUUCAGUCGAUGCGUACACGUCGCAAUCAAUUGUCAUCACUUUCUCAAACAGAAACAACUAGUUCACCAAGUAUUUAUUCUUAGGUUAUUUGUAAUGUAUUGAACUUUUAUAGCUAUGUUAUUUCAAAUGUAUUAGAACUAUAUUAUCUAUGAAAAUAUUGUUUUUUAUUAAUAUUAUUAUUAUAAAAA